RNAcentral lists this ribosomal RNA (324 nucleotides) under uncultured bacterium. Its description in RNAcentral is "bacterial SSU rRNA". It matches the Rfam family "Bacterial small subunit ribosomal RNA", at positions 32 to 335 of the family's 1533-position model. The record is from RNAcentral.
AAUCAACGCUGGCGGCGUGCCUCAGACAUGCAAGUCGAACGCGAAAGUCCCCUUCGGGGGGAUGAGUAGAGUGGCGUCCGGGUGAGUAACACGUAGGUAAUCUACCUUUGGGUGGGGAAUAACCCCGAGAAAUCGGGGCUAAUACCGUAUAAUGCAGCGGCACCACAUGGUGACAGUUGUUAAAGCGGGGGAUCGCAAGACCUCGCGCCUAAAGAGGAGCCUGCGGCGGAUUAGCUAGUUGGUAGGGAACGGCCUACCAAGGCAACGAUCCGUAGCCGGCCUGAGAGGGCGGUCGGCCACACUGACACUGAAAUACGGGUCAGA